UUUUGAAUUGUAAAAAUUAAUAAUACCUAAGUAUUAUGAAAAUAUUAUUUUGUGUUAAUAUUUUAUUAUUUAAAACUUAAAAGGUUUGGCGGUUUUACAUAUCCAGUUAGGGGAGUUUGUUAAUUGAUUUGAUGAUCCUCGUUUUAAACUUACUUUUUUUUGUUAUAUUUAUUUAUACAGUUUGUAUAUUGCUGUCGUUAGUUUAUGUUUUGAGAAUUAUUAAAAGACUAGAAAAUGAAUUGAUUUAUAUGUUAAGUCAUAAUGCAGCUAAUAAAAAAGGUUUAAUGAGCUACUUUAAUAAAUUUUAUUGAAUACCAGAUUUUAAAAAUUAUAUUUUAUUAGAAAGGUGGACUUAAUAGUAAAUAAUAAUUAGUAUGUAUUAUUGAAUUUGGUUUUGUAGAGUG
This 404-nucleotide ribosomal RNA is filed under the name Bathypolypus sp. A-JMS-2004. RNAcentral describes it as "Benthoctopus sp. A-JMS-2004 partial 12S ribosomal RNA". Lineage: Eukaryota; Metazoa; Mollusca; Cephalopoda; Octopoda; Octopodidae. The record is from RNAcentral. RNAcentral also lists the same sequence under 3 other names.